GCUACUACCGAUUGAAUGGUUUAGCGAGAUGCUCGGAUCGGGCCCAGCUCGUGCGAAAGCAUGUGCCGGGACUGAGAAGAAGUUCAAGCUUGAUCAUUUAGAGGAAGUAAAAGUCGUAACAAGGUUUUCGUAGGUGAACCUGCAGAAGGAUCAAUGAUCCUUCUGCAGGUUCACCUACCACUACCAUGUUACGACUUCACCCUAAUUAUCAAAUAUAUAUUCAAAUUAAUAAUUAUUAAAUUUCUUUGUUAAUUCAAAAUAAUUAUUUUAAAUUAUUUAAUUAAUUAAAAAAUUAAAUAAAAAUUAUUAAUUUUUCCAAUAUAAAUAACUUUCUUGGCGUGACGGGCGGUGUGUACUAAACGGA
RNAcentral lists this unclassified non-coding RNA (364 nucleotides) under sea anemone metagenome. Its description in RNAcentral is "partial contains small subunit ribosomal RNA and internal transcribed spacer 1". The stretch from base 1 to 156 matches the Rfam family "Eukaryotic small subunit ribosomal RNA", at positions 1678 to 1831 of the family's 1831-position model. The record is from RNAcentral.